This 497-nucleotide ribosomal RNA is filed under the name uncultured bacterium. RNAcentral's name for it is "partial 16S ribosomal RNA". It matches the Rfam family "Bacterial small subunit ribosomal RNA", at positions 28 to 507 of the family's 1533-position model. The record is from RNAcentral.
GAUGAACGCUGGCGGCGUGCCUAAUACAUGCAAGUCGAGCGAACAGACCAGGAUCUUGCUCCUCUCACGUUAGCGGCGCACGGGUGAGUAACACGUGGAUAACCUACCUAUAAGACUGGGAUAACUUCGGGAAACCGGAGCUAAUACCGGAUAAUAUAUUGAACCGCAUGGUUCAAUAGUGAAAGACGGCUUUGCUGUCACUUAUAGAUGGUUCCGCGCCGUAUUAGCUAGUUGGUAAGGUAACGGCUUACCAAGGCAACGAUGCGUAUCCGACAUGAGAGGGUGAUCGGCCACAUUGGAACGGGAACACGGUCCAGGCUCCUACGGGAGGCAGCAGUAGGGAACCUGCCGCAAUGGGCGAAAGCCUGACGGAGCAAGGGCGCGUGAGUGGUGAAGAUGCUCGGAUCGUAAAACUGUGUUAUUAGGGAAGAACAAAUGUGUAAGUAACUAUGGACGUCUUGACGGUAAUGAAUCAGAAAGCCACGGCUAACUACGUG